RNAcentral lists this ribosomal RNA (250 nucleotides) under uncultured bacterium. RNAcentral's name for it is "partial 16S ribosomal RNA". It matches the Rfam family "Bacterial small subunit ribosomal RNA", at positions 524 to 776 of the family's 1533-position model. The record is from RNAcentral.
UACGAAGGGGGCUAGCGUUGCUCGGAAUCACUGGCGUAAAGGGUGCGUAGGCGGGUCUUUAAGUCAGGGGUGAAUCCUGGAGCUCAACUCCAGAACUGCCUUUGAUACUGAAGAUCUUGAGUUCGGGAGAGGUGAGUGGAACUGCGAGUGUAGAGGUGAAAUUCGUAGAUAUUCGCAAGAACACCAGUGGCGAAGGCCGGCUCACUGGCCCGAUACUGACGCUGAGGCACGAAAGCGUGGGAGCAACAGG